RNAcentral lists this ribosomal RNA (480 nucleotides) under uncultured Rhodocyclaceae bacterium. RNAcentral's name for it is "bacterial SSU rRNA". It matches the Rfam family "Bacterial small subunit ribosomal RNA", at positions 902 to 1382 of the family's 1533-position model. The record is from RNAcentral. Lineage: Bacteria; Pseudomonadati; Pseudomonadota; Betaproteobacteria; Rhodocyclales; Rhodocyclaceae.
CAAAUGAAUUGACGGGGACCCGCACAAGCGGUGGAUGAUGUGGUUAAUUCGAUGCAACGCGAAAAACCUUACCCACCUUUGACAUGUACGGAAUCCUUUAGAGAUAGAGGAGUGCUCGAAAGAGAGCCGUAACACAGGUGCUGCAUGGCUGUCGUCAGCUCGUGUCGUGAGAUGUUGGGUUAAGUCCCGCAACGAGCGCAACCCUUGUCAUUAGUUGCUACAUUUAGUUGGGGCACUCUAAUGAGACUGCCGGUGACAAACCGGAGGAAGGUGGGGGUGACGUCAAGUCCUCAUGGCCCUUAUGGGUAGGGCUUCACACGUCAUACAAUGGUCGGUACAGAGGGUUGCCAACCCGCGAGGGGGAGCUAAUCCCACAAAGCCGAUCGUAGUCCGGAUCGCAGUCUGCAACUCGACUGCGUGAAGUCGGAAUCGCUAGUAAUCGUGGAUCAGCAUGUCGCGGUGAAUACGUUCCCGGGUCUU